This 3090-nucleotide ribosomal RNA is filed under the name Triticum aestivum (bread wheat). RNAcentral describes it as "partial small subunit ribosomal RNA". The record is from RNAcentral. Lineage: Eukaryota; Viridiplantae; Streptophyta; Magnoliopsida; Poales; Poaceae.
GUGUCGGCGAGGGCACCUCUUUGGGGUCGGCAGCAGGCGAGGGCGUGAGAGGAGGGGGAGGACGGAGAAGAGAAAGCGUGGAGGAGGAGGACAGCGGCGGCGGCGGAGGCGAGGACGAUAGCGGCGGCGGAGGGCAGGGUGAGCGGAGGCGGAGGAGGAGAAGGGGCGGAGGAGGAGGAGAGUGGAGGAGGUAGGUACCGGCCGGCACUCUCUCGGCCGCCUUCGUCCUAGGCGAGGCGGGCCUCGGGAGGGGAGGGAGAGCCAGCGGAGUCAGAGGAGGUGGAGGCGGAGGUGGUUGGGGAGGAGGGGACGCAGGUGUGGGCCGAUCGUGCUGGGCUGGUGCGCGACACCUGCUCCUCCGGGAAUCAACGGGUCGGUUGGCACCGAACGGAGAAGGAGAGUAGAAGGAAGAAGAGUCUAGUCCGUGUCCACCAGCGGUACCUUCUCUUCCCGCAGUCCCACCCACCUCCUCAUUCCCACCCCCUCCUCGUUGCUCCGAUCUCCAGCAGCGCCUACCGGAGUUGGUUGUCCGUCGAGCCCAGGAAAGCCUUGUUGAACGAAACCCUUUCGUCCAGCCGAACGAAGUGAGUGCUCUACGACCUCCUGGUGAUGUUGUGUUUGCUUAGACCAAACUGUGGGUACUUGUGGCUUCUUUAGGUACUCGGGCCCAACAGUCCAAGAGGUGGCAACUGGUUGUUAGUUGAUACCUGAGAAUGUCAGAACGCGUCUUCUAACGUCGGUUCUAGUUACGUGUCAUGAAGUCAUAAAAGGGAAGUGUCAUGAUCACAAGCACGAGCAGCUGCCCCGCCACGUUCCGAGUUGAGGUUGCGCCGCCGCACCACCUACAUGCCACAUCCUUCGCCGGAGAGACCAACCUGCCGCAAGUUCGCGUUGGGGCUGCGGGCGACUCAUGACGGAGCCGAUGUUGGAGGGAGCCACUCGAGGUAGAAGGAGUACGAGGAGACGAAGCCGAUGAAAGAACCUGUACCGGCACCGAUAUAACUACACCACGAGUAGAACAACUACGAGUUACGGGAUGAGUACGUAGUCAAGGAUGAACUCGAGACAUCAACACCUAGGUACGAUAAGACCCCAAACGUCCGACGUCAGGUACAAAUCAACGAUAGUGUCCUCGAGUACACUACGAGACCAAAUGUAUAUUUACAACAACCUGAAGAUCCGUCUUGGUUACCGAGGUGCAGCGAGAUAUUUGCGAUACUUAUCACGAACACGGUGGUGGACAACACUCCGGUAAGAACGAUCCCGCUACUACUAAUUAGCACCGACUUUAUUCACACGGAAACUCGUUAGCUCCUUGGACACCCAUAGUUCAACCUAGGAGGGAGAACAGGAAUCUUAGGAAAAACUAGGACACUAUGAAUAACAAGACAGGAACCUACCAGUAAGAACAACUCACUAUUGGUCCCGUAUAGGUAAUAUUUGUCUAACUAGACCACUAUUCUCUACUGCCCCCACCCAAUAUACUAGCUCCUUUCCGCUUAGACUAGGGUGAUACGUUACUUGGGACUUGGGAAAAAUAAACAUAAAUUUCCACAACGAAUAAAUACGAGGCCACAAAUAUCGAUAGGAUACAUUUCUAAAGAAGAGAGAGUAUGGAAAUAACGUAUAUUCAACAAGAACUAGAAAAUAACAAACAACAACCAGGAGCUAAAUUGGACCAAUUCUCAUUCAACGUGAAACUGAGCGAGGGUCGUUCAAUAGUCACACCAGAGCGCAGCGGGGAGAGGAGAAGUUCUUUUGACACAGGAGGGGAGACGAUGAACAACCACCAAGUCCAUGUUCGGUAACUACGAGGAACCACCACGAACCUAGACCCUCACCUCUCUUCCUUCACCGCGUGCGAACCGACGGGGUGGGCUGGUAGCGGGGAGGAACGAGCUCUAACUCCAACGGGAGGAGACGACGGCUCAGGCCGCUCCCGCAGCAGUUAGAGAGGGGUCGGACCUACACUUCCGGUGAUGGUCAAAACUUCGACCAACUCCACUCGAAGGAGACGACGGCACAGGUCGCUCCCGCGGCAGCUAGAGAGGGGUUGGACCUACACCUCCGGUGAUGGUCAAAACUUCGACCAACUCCCCGUGGACCGUGAUAGAUGAAAGAUUCGAGACUACCGGUAACAUCUACCCCUUUAUUUUACUCCGAUAUGUCCUUCGUCGAGUGUUUAAACUCCGUAGAGUAGUGAUGUUCCUACUGGAAACGGUGUGUUUCUUACCGUUCUGGGAAUAUAGAGCCGGUCAAAACGGUUUAUUACCUAUAUAAUGUACCUGGAUUGUAUCGGUUACGGUGGGUUCGUCGUUAUAUUCGUUAAGUAAACGUGGUAGCGCCAAUGUUCCAACCCGAGACUGUUAGCCGCCACCAGCGCACGCCACCCGUAAAGUCCUUCGCCUACGAUAGUUCUAGUACGGUUUCCGUUUCGUACGGUUUCCCGCUACGAGUAAGGGCAAGAAUCACUCUACCCAAAUGAGCUACGUUUCAUACUCGUAACAUCUGAUCGCUCGACGACUUCCAGCUGCUCCUCCCGCGGUGGUGGUGGCAGUAGGACCAGGUGUAGGUGCGCGACGAACCACAGUGAUCCAGUGGCCGUGUUAGGAGUGCGGGUCUAGCAAGUUGUAAAAGAAGGCGAAAACCACGCAGUGUAAAUCUCAGAAAGAAAGGGUAAAAUGGCACAAACGUACUAUUCUACAAACCAACCUAAACUUCCAAGCAUCGGAACCGAGGUUUCGAAGUUCGAGAAUAUCUUUAAUCUUGACUCCCGGAAAAUUUAAAUCAGAACGUAUUAUCACAAAAAGUCACCCUACGUCUUAAAAACAAACAGACUAGCUGAUAGGAACCACGACUAAAUGCAUGACUCAAGUAGUAGUAUACUGAUAUUGUUUCUUCAACACACAUAUUUAUAAUGAUUGACGACUAUGAAACGCAGUCACUAAAGUUAAGACAACCAGGAGGAAUUAUAACGAACCCUAACACUCCGAAUUUUCAAAGUUGGGACACGUUACACGAAGAGCCCACACCUAAACACUGAUUAAUUGCCAAAACAAUUAUGACUAUAAAGAAACUUGUAAUAUACCC